CCUGUCUCAGUUCGGAUUGGAGUCUGCAACCCGACUCCAUGAAGCUGGAUUCGCUAGUAAUCGCGCAUCAGCCACGGCGCGGUGAAUACGUUCCCGGGCCUUGUACACACCGCCCGUCAAGCCAUGGGAGCCGGGAGUGCCUGAAGUACGUGACCGCAAGGAGCGUCCUAGGGUAAGACCGGUGACUGGGGCUAAGUCGUAACAAGGUAUC
This 211-nucleotide ribosomal RNA is filed under the name uncultured bacterium. RNAcentral describes it as "partial 16S ribosomal RNA". It matches the Rfam family "Bacterial small subunit ribosomal RNA", at positions 1282 to 1500 of the family's 1533-position model. The record is from RNAcentral.